AACUAAAUGGGGCUUUUAUAAAAAAGAGUUUGCAUCGUGGAUCUGCCAACUCACCGCUUUUGCAGAAUCACCGUCUUCAAGAUCCCAGAUCAGGCGCGGCAGCGACAGGUGCGUCUGGUAGUGGUUCUGGUCCCGCUCCCAGGUUUGCUCCUCCUGCUUCUGGACGACGUGCUCCAUCUCAACCCCAGCCAACGGUCGUCUCUUCCGGGGAUAAUCACCAAAAUCAGGACGUCCCUGCUUCGACGGCCCCGUCUCAGCAGAAAAGAACCCGACGAGGUGAAAAUUCAUCAAAACGACACGGACGUCCAGCUUCAAAUGCUAUUUUUUUAUUUUAGCUAACUCAAGCUACGCCAUCUGGUCAAAGCCGACGCGUGUCUGUCAGUGAAAAUCCACAGAAUACAGGAUGUUCUGAUGAUUUUUCUCCGGCCCUCAUGAAAUGCCGCUGUUUGGAUGCUCACAGCAAGACCGUGGACUUGUGUGUUAGAAUAUUGGACGAAAUGUAAGAUUUUUUUCUGCUCAUUGUACCUUGAAAAAAUGUCAGAACCUCCUUUGUCACUUGACGUAAUAAAUCACCUUCAA
Long non-coding RNA from Austrofundulus limnaeus, 579 nucleotides. RefSeq lists it as uncharacterized. The record is from RefSeq and is a predicted model, not a curated record. Lineage: Eukaryota; Metazoa; Chordata; Actinopteri; Cyprinodontiformes; Rivulidae. The transcript is spliced from 3 exons.